This 253-nucleotide unclassified non-coding RNA is filed under the name Xylariales sp. RNAcentral's name for it is "partial contains 5.8S ribosomal RNA, internal transcribed spacer 2, and large subunit ribosomal RNA". Lineage: Eukaryota; Fungi; Ascomycota; Sordariomycetes; Xylariales. The record is from RNAcentral.
CGCACAUUGCGCCCAUUAGUAUUCUAGUGGGCAUGCCUGUUCGAGCGUCAUUUCGACCCUUAAGCCCUGUUGCUUAGCGUUGGGAGCCUACGUCCGUAGCUCCUCAAAGUCAGUGGCGGAGUCUAUUCAACUCUAGGCGUAGUAAUUCUUCUCGUCUCGCGGUGGUUUAGCCCCUUGCCGUAAAACACCCUAUUCUUUAGGGUAACAUCUCAAGGUUGACCUCGGAUCAGGUAGGAAUACCCGCUGAACUUAA